GGGCCAAAGAUCCUUUGUUUGUAUGUUAUCAUCACUAUGAUCUUCAGUUUUCCAUACACUGUGAUCUUCAGUUUUUCAUUGCGUGUUUUUUCUGCAGUUUGCUUGGUGUGUGGACAGGGCCAAAGGACAAGAUGCUUCAAUCCGGCGAGGACAGAGCCAAAUGACCAAAGUUUGUUCAUCUGUUGCCAAGUUUGGUACCAUCCCGUGGGGAGGGCCAGGGACAAGCUGCUCCGAUCCGGCGAGGAUGCCCACCAUCUAUUGUUAAGGGCGUCCGUGGAAGGCCCAGUCCUGACUCUCCAGUGAGCCGGCAUUUGAUCGCUAUUGAAGGAGCUACAUGUAGAAGAAGAAAAUACUUGUAGAGCUUGUAACUGAUUCCCAUAGUUGUAGAGCUUGUAUCAGCUAAGCUUGUAUUACGUGUAACUUGUAGAACUUGUAAAUGC
Triticum aestivum (bread wheat) is the source of this 440-nucleotide long non-coding RNA. RefSeq lists it as uncharacterized. The transcript is spliced from 3 exons. The record is from RefSeq and is a predicted model, not a curated record. NCBI's taxonomy places the organism in Eukaryota, Viridiplantae, Streptophyta, Magnoliopsida, Poales, Poaceae.